This 599-nucleotide ribosomal RNA is filed under the name uncultured bacterium. RNAcentral describes it as "bacterial SSU rRNA". It matches the Rfam family "Bacterial small subunit ribosomal RNA", at positions 60 to 655 of the family's 1533-position model. The record is from RNAcentral.
AGUCGAGCGGAGAUGAGGUGCUUGCACCUUAUCUUACGGCGGACGGGUGAGUAAUGCUUAGGAAUCUGCCUAUUAGUGGGGGACAACAUUCCGAAAGGAAUGCUAAUACCGCAUACGUCCUACGGGAGAAAGCAGGGGAUCUUCGGACCUUGCGCUAAUAGAUGAGCCUAAGUCGGAUUAGCUAGUUGGUGGGGUAAAGGCCUACCAAGGCGACGAUCUGUAGCGGGUCUGAGAGGAUGAUCCGCCACACUGGGACUGAGACACGGCCCAGACUCCUACGGGAGGCAGCAGUGGGGAAUAUUGGACAAUGGGGGAACCCUGAUCCAGCCAUGCCGCGUGUGUGAAGAAGGCCUUAUGGUUGUAAAGCACUUUAAGCGAGGAGGAGGCUACUGAGACUAAUACUCUUGGAUAGUGGACGUUACUCGCAGAAUAAGCACCGGCUAACUCUGUGCCAGCAGCCGCGGUAAUACAGAGGGUGCGAGCGUUAAUCGGAUUUACUGGGCGUAAAGCGUGCGUAGGCGGCUUUUUAAGUCGGAUGUGAAAUCCCCGAGCUUAACUUGGGAAUUGCAUUCGAUACUGGGAAGCUAGAGUAUGGGAGA